CCUACGUGUGGCUGCAGUGGGGAAUAUUGCACAAUGGGCGCAAGCCUGAUGCAGCGACGCAGCGUGCGGGAUGGAGGCCUUCGGGUUGUAACACGCUUUUGUUCACGGGCUAGGCUCGGUCUUUGGCCGUGUUGAGUGGAUUGUUUGAAUAAGCACCGGCGAUCUACGGUCCAGCAGACGCGGUAAUACGUAGGGUGCAAGCGUUAUCCGGAUUUAUUGGGCGUAAAGGGCUCGUAGGCGGUUCGUCGCGUCAGGUGUGAAAGUCCAUCGCUUAACGGUGGAACCGCGCCGGUUACGGGCGGGCUUGAGUGCGGUAGGGGAGACUGGAAUUCCCGGUGGAACGGUGGAAUGUGUAGAUAGCGGGAAGAACACCGAUGGCGAAGGCAGGUCUCUGGGCCGUUACUGACGCUGAGGAGCGAAAGUGUGGGGAGCGAACAGGAUUAGAUACCCCUGUAGUC
This 458-nucleotide ribosomal RNA is filed under the name uncultured bacterium. RNAcentral's name for it is "partial 16S ribosomal RNA". It matches the Rfam family "Bacterial small subunit ribosomal RNA", at positions 338 to 795 of the family's 1533-position model. The record is from RNAcentral.